Molecule: ribosomal RNA, 503 nt
Filed under: uncultured bacterium
Lineage: Bacteria
Description: partial 16S ribosomal RNA
Rfam family: Bacterial small subunit ribosomal RNA
Source: RNAcentral
AACGAACGCUGGCGGCGUGUUUAAGACAUGCAAGUCGCACGGGAUCAUUUUGGUAGCAAUACUCGAAUGGUUUAGUGGCGCACGGGUGAGUAACAUGUGAAUGACAUGCCCUAUAGUGGGGAAUAGCCCAGGGAAACUUGGAUUAAUACCCCAUGGUCUCGCAAGAGUAAAGGUGGCCGCAAGGCUGUCGCUAUAGGAUUGGUUCGCACCCUAUCGGCUUGUUGGUGAGGUAACGGCUCACCAAGGCUACGACGGGUACCUGGUCGGAGAGGACGAUCAGGCACACUGGAACUGAGACACGGUCCAGACACCUACGGGUGGCAGCAGUCGAGAAUAAUUCACAAUGGGGGCAACCCUGAUGGUGCAACGCCGCGUGGAGGAUGAAGGUCUUCGGAUUGUAAACUCCUGUCAUCUGGGAGUAAGACCUGGCCGUGAAUAGCGGACAGGGUUGAUAGUACCAGAAGAGGAAGGGACGGCUAACUUCGUGCCAGCAGCCGCGGUAA